This 163-nucleotide unclassified non-coding RNA is filed under the name air metagenome. RNAcentral's name for it is "partial contains small subunit ribosomal RNA, internal transcribed spacer 1, and 5.8S ribosomal RNA". The stretch from base 1 to 46 matches the Rfam family "Eukaryotic small subunit ribosomal RNA", at positions 1786 to 1831 of the family's 1831-position model. The record is from RNAcentral.
AAGUCGUAACAAGGUUUCCGUAGGUGAACCUGCGGAAGGAUCAUUAUUGAAUAGCUGGAUACACACUGUGAACCGUGCCUUCGGGUGAUACAAACGCGUAUGAGUACUUCAGAAUGUCGAAUACAAAUAAAUAUAACUUUUAACAACGGAUCUCUUGGCUCUC